This is a non-coding RNA of Felis catus (domestic cat), 82 nucleotides long. The record is from Rfam. NCBI's taxonomy places the organism in Eukaryota, Metazoa, Chordata, Mammalia, Carnivora, Felidae.
UUCUGUGGUACCCUACUCCAGAGGUUGGCAAUCACAGGUACUUAAAUGUGAUUGACACCUCUGUGAGUGGAGUAACACUUGA